UGUAAUGUUAUUGGACUUCUUUUUCUAAUCAUCAGUGUAAUAAAUGAAAAUAUUAGGUUGUCCAGAAAGUUCGUGGCAAUUUCUAAGAAACAUUCAAAAACACGUUUGAAUUUUAAUAUAUAUUUAUUGAAUUACAUAGGUGCCAUUUUGUUCCACAACCUUUUCACCCUUUAAGAGAUGUAUGCAUGUUAUUUGUUUUCAACCACUUCGAUACAUUCAGACCUGUACCAUCUACCAAAAAUCGGCAUGGACUUUCCGGACAACCCAUACAUUUUCUUUGCCUUAUUAUCAUAGGGAAAGAGUCACGUCGAUAUUAUCGAGGUCUCUGUUCUAUGAAGGUCGGAUAAUUAUGAGUCAACCUAUUACUUGAAUAAUGUGUGUCUGGAUGCCACAAAAGUGACCAUAUGUUGUAUCCUUUUUUAUCUUUUUUGAAAAAAAUUCACUAGACAACCUGUGUUUCCAUGAAUUUUAAUCAGAAAGGUCCCUUAAAGGUUUGGCCAAUCCUUUGGUUAUACGAGAAUUGGGUAAGGAAGGUCAGUUAUCUGUCACGCUGACACUCGGUUCGCUGAAUAACUGAUAAACCAACCAUAUCCACCGCUGUCAUUAUCCACUUGCGUUUGUGUCACGUCCCUCUCCCAACUUACGCUACUUCCCUGUAGUACGUGUGCUCGUAAAAGUAAAUCGCAUAAUCGGAUAACGAGAGCUACCUCCUUGGAGAUUGAAUGAAUAACACGCGAUAACUCGAUUCUCAAACUAAGCCUCUUCGACUUCCUCCUUUUCUUCCUCUUAUACUUCGCCAAAGUUCACCACACCGAUUACAAUAUAAACAAAAAUAUUUCUUGUAAAUGAUAACAGUACUUGUGAAUUACUCAUCUUUAUUUUGUACAAUACGAAAUCCACGAAACAAGAAAGAGAAAACUUGUUUCAAACGUUCUAAUCGAUGUUGAAUUCAAUCCAAAGGCAUUCUCUAGCUCUUCAAUACAGAUCUACUGGUGUUGCUAUCAAUGUGUUAAAUUUUACACAGAACGAUCAUUACCAAAGUAUACGAAAAGACUGCAAGUGCUUCGAGUGCUUGUUACAAUAAUAGAGGAUUUCUUAUUGCAAACAUGCAAACUCAAAGUGUCAUUGAAAGAGUGUCUACAAAUUCUGAAUCUUAUAAAUGGUCACUUUCAUAGCAUAUGUACAUUCAGUUCCUACCGCUAUAUUUGACAUUUCUGCUCCUCCUUUGCGAUAAGAUCCUUCUUACCGUUACAUGUAAUGGCCAUAAGCACCCUCCGAGCCAUAUACUAUAUUAGGAACUUGGAUGUGAAGUGCGGGUCGGUACAGAGAAUUACCCAUUUGACCUCUUAUCUAUUUUUCACGUUUGGCUGGGUUAUCGACACACAGCCCGCUACCGUUAUCACUGGCUAAAUAUUUAAAUCAAUUACAUUUGUCUGAAGAGAAUAAGUUAUUUCCGAAAAUAAGUGUUUUUGAUACCAAAAAUUAUUUGCUCUCAAAAAAAGGAAAGAUUAAUUAGAACACUUAAUAAUUUCACAGAGCGUUUCUAUGGUUUUCGAAGGCCGAGAGUUCUAAUCUUCCUAACAAUCGUGCAAUUUCGUCGCAUGGACAUGCUACGCUUGUGCUAUUUAAUUAUUAAUUAUCUACAGGUUGUAAUCGUUUUCGUUUACAUAAAAGUACGGUUUAUUUGGUUAAAUCUCAAAGUAAUAUAAAUUAAAAUAAUAAUAUAAAUUUUAAAAAUAGUACUAUAAAUUGUUACGAUAAGCUUUCAACAUUUCUUUUGUUUUAACUUAAUCACAUUUCAUGACGUCUAACGUCCAAUUAAUUUAACGUGACGUAUCAACGAUACGACAGAUAUUUAUAGUUACGAAAAUAUCUCGUACCAAAUAAAAGAAGUUUGAGAUUAAAUUAUUCCAAAAACAUAAUUACAAUUAAUUGGUGCCUUAAUAAUUAAUAUUUCACAUUUUUACACUGGUAAUCGUAGAAUCAUAAUGAUAGGAGUUAGAAAGUAAAUAACUUCUUCAUUUCAUGUCUUUCAAUAUCAAUACUUUAAAUUAAAUAGUAACGGAAUAGUUCGGAAGAAGCUAACUUCAGAGUAAAAUAUUUUUGUGCACAUUAAUAAUGAUAAUACUGACGAUGAGUGGAGGAUAUUUAUCUAUAACUGUAUUAAUUGCAAAUAUCUCAAUGUAAACCUAUGCAUCUCCUAAAAUAAAAACUCGUAGACAAAGAAGUAGAAUAAAUUCUCUAUCUCCUCUCAGAAGGAAAAGAGUUAAUAAAACCUCUGUUUUUCAUCUUCGAUUAUUCAAUAUUUAUCGCUAAUCUUUUAUUCUUGUCAUUUUGUUUUAUUGUGCAAACUUGUUUUCUGAUCAUUUUUGUUUCCGUUUCUAAUUCUGCCAAGUAACUUUGACCACGAUGUGUCGAAAGGUAUUGUGACGUAAUCCUCUUUCCCGAUUCAUCCGAUAGCUCGCGGACCACAGCUUGACAAACACUAGUCUGUAUUAUCGGCAGCAUUCAUUUCAUCACAUGUAUUAUACACUAUAGCUUAUAUAUUAUUCAUGUGAUCAAUUCGAUUGGACGACUUUGCUUGCAUUAGCUUCCCGUCUAGUAGGUAAACGAUCAGGCUCGCAGCUAUUUACGAAUCUAUCAGUUCAUCCAACGCUUCGUAUGAUAACGUGCACAAGUAUAAAUAACGAUAGCUGGAUGACAGCUACAAACACAGAUACGUUAACCACUAACAAGAGCUGAUCAGUCAUAAAUUUGCUUAAAAACACCUCGCACCGCUGCGGCUCCAUCCGUCAGAGAAUUUUUAUUUAGUAGCGCCAUGUCUUCAUUAUCUCCUACCAAUAAGAAGUACACGACUCGUUCGCCAGAGCGCAUCGAAGAGUCCGAAACGUUCGCAGACGGUUGCCAUACUUUCGGUUGUCGAUCAUCCGCCGCUUCGACCACCGCCAUUUUUCCAUCUCGAGUAUCCAAAUUCAAUAACCGCACCUAUGAUAAUUCGUCCACGGUGGUCUAAGUGGGCAAAAUAGCCGAACCAACACCGAGAUACUUCUAAAAAGAAAUGCACACAAGCUCCCAAGAACAGCUGUGAAUUAAGUAAAAAGUAAAUGUAAUGCAUUCUCCGUACACGAAGCAUCCGUCCAGUCGCUAUUCGUGUGAAUAAUUCCAUCCAAUAAUUCAGUUUCCCGUGGGCACCAGAACAGACCAGUCCACGCGUCCACGCGAUCACGAUACUUCCAACUGUUCAUUCUAAUCGUCUCGUCUUAUCGGCCGCUCCACUAAACGGUCAAUUGACUUGGGUAAUUACCUAAACUCAGAAGCGAGUUUAGAGCAACGAAAGAUCCCCCUAUAAAAUCAUUCUAACAUUACCUAAGCCAAGGAACAGAUAGGAGUCGAUCGUAACAGGAUGGCAUGAUCUUGAAACCUUGAAGAAGAAACUUA
Hylaeus anthracinus is the source of this 3438-nucleotide long non-coding RNA. RefSeq lists it as uncharacterized. The transcript has 2 exons. NCBI's taxonomy places the organism in Eukaryota, Metazoa, Arthropoda, Insecta, Hymenoptera, Colletidae. The record is from RefSeq and is a predicted model, not a curated record.